GUCCAUAUUUUAUCUCUCGAUAAUACCAUGGUGGGGUUUUCCUUAAAGAUCAAAGUUGGAUUUGAAGGUUUUGGACAAGAUUAUGCAUAUUUGGAUUCGAUUGAGUGAAAUCUUUGAAGAGACGCGGUUCUUGCAAAGGAGUAGCGUGAAACGGUGAAUAAAAUUGGUAGAUCUUGGGUUAUAACAAUUCACAAUUUGGAUUCGAUCGAGUGAAGGCUUUGAAGAGUUGCGUUUCUUACAAAGGAGUAGCGUG
RNAcentral lists this long non-coding RNA (253 nucleotides) under Lathyrus oleraceus (garden pea). Its description in RNAcentral is "Pisum sativum (pea) long non-coding RNA (PSAT_LNC032288)". The record is from RNAcentral. Lineage: Eukaryota; Viridiplantae; Streptophyta; Magnoliopsida; Fabales; Fabaceae.